UGGGGGAUAUUGGUCAAUGGGCGCAAGCCUGAACCAGCGACGCCGCGUGGGUGAAGAAGGUCUUCGGGUCGUAAAGCCCUUUUCCCACUGAAGAGGAAGGACGGUAGGUGGGGAAGAAGUCUCGGCUAACUACGUGCCAGCAGCCGCGGUAAAACGUAGGAGACAAGCGUUAUCCGGAGUUACUUGGCGUAAAGGGCGUGCAGGUGGCGUCUUAAGUCUGUUGUGAAAGCGCCUGGCUUAACCGGGCGAGGCCAAUGGAGACUGAGAGUCUGGAGGACGGCGGAGGGGUGUGGAAUUCCGGGUGUAGUGGUGAAAUGCGUAGAGAUCCGGAGGAACACCAGAGGCGAAGGCGGCACUCUAAGCCGUACCUGACACUGAGACGCGACAGCACGGGGAGCAAACG
Molecule: ribosomal RNA, 403 nt
Filed under: uncultured bacterium
Lineage: Bacteria
Description: bacterial SSU rRNA
Rfam family: Bacterial small subunit ribosomal RNA
Source: RNAcentral